This 263-nucleotide ribosomal RNA is filed under the name uncultured bacterium. Its description in RNAcentral is "partial 16S ribosomal RNA". It matches the Rfam family "Bacterial small subunit ribosomal RNA", at positions 28 to 292 of the family's 1533-position model. The record is from RNAcentral.
GACGAACGCUGGCGGCGUGCUUAACACAUGCAAGUCGAGCGGUAAGGCCCUUUCGGGGGUACACGAGCGGCGAACGGGUGAGUAACACGUGGGUGACCUGCCCUUAGCUCUGGGAUAAGCCUGGGAAACUGGGUCUAAUACCGGAUAUGACUCCAUAACGCAUGUUGUGGGGUGGAAAGCCUUGUGCGGCUAGGGAUGGGCCCGCGGCCUAUCAGCUUGUUGGUGGGGUGAUGGCCUACCAAGGCGACGACGGGUAGCCGGCC